RNAcentral lists this ribosomal RNA (301 nucleotides) under uncultured bacterium. RNAcentral describes it as "partial 16S ribosomal RNA". It matches the Rfam family "Bacterial small subunit ribosomal RNA", at positions 509 to 809 of the family's 1533-position model. The record is from RNAcentral.
CAGUCGCCGCGGUAAUACGUAGGUGGCGAGCGUUGUCCGGAAUUAUUGGGCGUAAAGGGAGCGCAGGCGGACAUAUAAGUCCAUCUUAAAAGUGCGGGGCUCAACCCCGUGAGGGGAUGGAAACUGUAUGCCUUGAGUGCAGGAGAGGAAAGCGGAAUUCCCAGUGUAGCGGUGAAAUGCGUAGAUAUUGGGAGGAACACCAGUGGCGAAGGCGGCUUUCUAGACUGUAACUGACGCUGAGGCUCGAAAGCCAGGGGAGCGAACGGGAUUAGAUACCCCUGUAGUCCCUGUCUCUUAUACA